AGAAUCAACGCUGGCGGCGUGCCUAACACAUGCAAGUCGAACGAGAAAGUGGAGCAAUCCAUGAGUAAAGUGGCGCACGGGUGAGUAACACGUGACUAACCUACCUUUUAGUGGGGGAUAACCUAGGGAAACCUGGGCUAAUACCGCAUAAUACCUACGGGUCAAAGCAGCAAUGCGCUGAAAGAGGGGGUCGCGGUCGAUUAGUUAGUUGGCAGGGUAAUGGCCUACCAAGACUGUGAUCGAUAUCCGGCCUGAGAGGGCGCACGGACACACUGGAACUGAAACACGGUCCAGACUCCUACGGGAGGCAGCAGUGGGGAAUUUGCGCAAUGGGGGAAACCCUGACGCAGCAACGCCGCGUGGAGGAUGAAGUCCCUUGGGACGUAAACUCCUUUCGAUCGGGACGAUAAUGACGGUACCGGAAGAAGAGCCCGGCUAACUUCGCGCCAGCAGCCGC
This 457-nucleotide ribosomal RNA is filed under the name uncultured bacterium. RNAcentral's name for it is "SSU rRNA". It matches the Rfam family "Bacterial small subunit ribosomal RNA", at positions 26 to 518 of the family's 1533-position model. The record is from RNAcentral.